AUGUGAAAUUAGUAUCGUCAUAGAUAGUACUGUACGUAACCAAAGUCGUGGUCGGAGCGACAUAAAAUUAUUACAAAUAAAUAUUAGAAAUCAUGUUAAAAAACAUUAUUCCUAUUAAAACGAUAUAUUCGAAGUUCCGACCCUGGAAAAAUGAAAUACGAUCGUUUGUUAAUAUGAGAAAAAUAAAACGUGCGUUCAGACGUUUUGUUUAUCAGUCAGAAAGUAAACCUCCUUAUUUUCAUAUUACACAAGUUGGUGAUCCUGUUUUGCGCACACCAACCUUGCCGGUAAAUCUCGAAGUUAUUCAAUUCUUUCAAUUUCAAAUGGUCAUAAAACAAAUGAAAAUAAUUAUGGAAAUUUAUGAUACCUUUGGAUUAUCUGCUUGUCAAAUUGGUUUACCAUGGAAAGUUUUUAUGAUACAAGUUACAGAAAAACAUUUAAAGGAUGUUGGUGAAAAUUUGAUGAAAAUUCGUGAAAUGGAAGUAAUACCAUUACAAGUAUUUAUUAACCCUACCAUUCGUACUAUAGAUCAUAAAUUAGUUUCAUUUCCUGAAGUAUGUGCUAGUGUUCGAGGUUACUCCGCAGAAGUACCUAGAGCAAGAGAAGUUGAGAUUAAAGCUUUCAAUGAAUCCUCUGAAGAAGUUACGGUCAGGUUCAAAGGAUGGGCAGCAAGAAUCAUUCAACAUGAAAUGGAUCAUUUGAAUGGAAUAUUAUACACGGAUAAAAUGGAUAGACGAACGUUUUCUUGUUGUUAUUGGAAUGAAGUGAACAAGCAUAAAGGACUCAUAGAGAUACGAUUCGAUUCAUAAAAUUCGUAUGAAAAGUUUUGGAGAAAAUAUGUAGGUGAAUAUAUAUAUAAAUAAUAUCAUAUAUAGUCAUGCAGACAAAAUCAUGAAAAUAGAAAAACGUCCUGCAUAUCGAUGGGAAGUUCUCCAGAUUUUCGUGAGCUUUCGAAAAGUGGUAAGCUUGUUCCAGUAUGCGUUUCACUGUAGGAUUCACUUCUUGAUGUUGUUGAAGUUGACGUGCAAGGAUGAUCCGAGGAUGUACAGGAUGACGUACCGUUCCGUGAUAUCCUGGUGUUAGCUUCGGGACUUCCGGUGCAACUAUAUCGUGAUGUAACUGCCUCUGAACGAGAGAGAGCAGGUUCAGGGGUGACCCGCACCCAUGGACACCAUGAAAAAAGUUGAGCGAAACCACGACGGAAUCUAAACGAUCGAAUACAAACUUAGACAUAUUCUAAAUGAAUGAACAAGUAUAUUUAGAUUAUAGCGAAUGAAAUAAUUGUUUUAGACAAUUAUUCGAGAUGUUUCAAAUAUUUUUUUAAUUAAGUGCAAUUAGGUAAAGUUUCUUAUAAAUA
This is an RNA transcript of Vespula pensylvanica (western yellowjacket), 1357 nucleotides long. It is a transcript of the gene named peptide deformylase, mitochondrial-like, with no coding region annotated. The record is from RefSeq and is a predicted model, not a curated record. The transcript has 5 exons. Lineage: Eukaryota; Metazoa; Arthropoda; Insecta; Hymenoptera; Vespidae.